UCGGGUGGCAUAAAAACAUGCAGCUGUCAAACUCCUCACUCUUUCAGCCAUGGACAGACGUGUGCUGCUGCUUCUGUUGUGUCUGCAGCUUAGUCUGAUCAUCACGUCUGCAGACGGCGUGCAGACAGAACAACAGUCGUCUGACACGAUGAAGAAAGAUCGGGACAAACGUUCAGACGGAUGUGCAUUACGACCAGGAGGCUGCUCAUUCUGGGAAGGUGAAGGCAUCCUAAAUCAGAUCCUAAUGUUGCACAGAUGAUGAGAACCUGCAUACUGCUCUGGAUCACUCCCAAUAGAUCCUGAGCCAGAAGAAGAAUCCGGAUCACCUGCAAAAUUCAGUGGAGUCUUCCAUGCCAUGAUAUCUUGGCAUAAUCCUUCAAAACCUAUAGAAAGUGAAAUGGAUCCAGAACUGAGAUCACCUCCAAAAUGUAAUGGAGUCUUCCAUGGCCUAAUAUCUGUCUGUAGUGAAACGUCCGUAAAAAUCUGUGAAGUAGUUUUGACGUAAUCCUUAAAAGUCGACAAAGUGAAAUCCUGAUCCAGAAUCCAAAUCCGGAUGCAGAUAACCUCCAAAAUGUAAUGGAGUCUUCCAAGGCCUAACAUCAAUGCCUGGUGAAAAUCUAUUAAGUGUUUUUUUGUUUGUUUGUUUGUUUGUUUGAUGUAAUCCUUGAAAGCCUAAAGUGAAAUCUUGAUCCAUAAUCCGGAUCACCUCCAAUUAAUCAAAACCCGUGCAGCAGUCUUGACAUAAUCAUGCUAACAGACAGACAAAUAAAUAAACGCAGAUUAUUUUAUUAUGUCCUUGGCGCACGUAAUAAAUAAAUAUUUUAGAUUUUG
Molecule: long non-coding RNA, 831 nt
Organism: Thalassophryne amazonica
Lineage: Eukaryota; Metazoa; Chordata; Actinopteri; Batrachoidiformes; Batrachoididae
Exons: 4
Source: RefSeq, a predicted model, not a curated record